This 616-nucleotide ribosomal RNA is filed under the name Hepatozoon sp. Its description in RNAcentral is "SSU rRNA". It matches the Rfam family "Eukaryotic small subunit ribosomal RNA", at positions 311 to 920 of the family's 1831-position model. The record is from RNAcentral. Lineage: Eukaryota; Apicomplexa; Hepatozoidae.
CCUAUCAGCUUUCGACGGUAUGGUAUUGGCUUACCGUGGCAGUGACGGUUAACGGGGGAUUAGGGUUCGAUUCCGGAGAGGGAGCCUGAGAAACGGCUACCACAUCUAAGGAAGGCAGCAGGCGCGCAAAUUACCCAAUUCUAACAGUUUGAGAGAGGUAGUAACAAGAAAUAACAAUACAAGGCAGUUAAAAUGCUUUGUAAUUGGAAUGAUAGAAAUUUAAACCCUUUUUAAAGUAUCAAUUGGAGGGCAAGUCUGGUGCCAGCAGCCGCGGUAAUUCCAGCUCCAAUAGCGUAUAUUAAAAUUGUUGCAGUUAAAAAGCUCGUAGUUGAAGUUCUGCUAAAAGUAACCGGUCUGCUUUUAAUAAAAGUGGUAUCUUGGUAUGUAUUUAGCAAUGAUGUCCUUUGAAGUGUUUUUUACUUUAUUGUAAUAAAGCAUAUUCAGGACUUUUACUUUGAGAAAAUUAGAGUGUUUCUAGCAGGCCGACGCUUUGAAUACUGCAGCAUGGAAUAAUAAGAUAGGAUUUUAGUUCUACAUUGUUGGUUUUAAGAGCUAAAUUAAUGAUUGAUAGGGACAGUUGGGGGCAUUUGUAUUUAACUGUCAGAGGUGAAAUUCU